RNAcentral lists this ribosomal RNA (476 nucleotides) under uncultured organism. RNAcentral describes it as "partial 16S ribosomal RNA". It matches the Rfam family "Bacterial small subunit ribosomal RNA", at positions 330 to 797 of the family's 1533-position model. The record is from RNAcentral.
CGUACACUCCUGCGGGAGGCAGCAGUGGGGAAUUUUGGACAAUGGGCGAAAGCCUGAUCCAGCCAUGCCGCGUGCAGGAUGAAGGCCUUCGGGUUGUAAACUGCUUUUGUACGGAACGAAACGGCCUUUUCUAAUAAAGAGGGCUAAUGACGGUACCGUAAGAAUAAGCACCGGCUAACUACGUGCCAGCAGCCGCGGUAAUACGUAGGGUGCAAGCGUUAAUCGGAAUUACUGGGCGUAAAGCGUGCGCAGGCGGUUAUGUAAGACAGUUGUGAAAUCCCCGGGCUCAACCUGGGAACUGCAUCGGUGACUGCAUAGCUAGAGUACGGUAGAGGGGGAUGGAAUUCCGCGUGUAGCAGUGAAAUGCGUAGAUAUGCGGAGGAACACCGAUGGCGAAGGCAAUCCCCUGGACCUGUACUGACGCUCAUGCACGAAAGCGUGGGGAGCAAACAGGAUUAGAAACCCCUGUAGUCCCA